GUCUCUGUGGUGCAAUCGGUCAAUGCGUUCGGCUGUUAACCAAAAGGUUGGUGGUUCGAGCCCACCCAGGAACG
This 74-nucleotide transfer RNA is filed under the name Albula goreensis. It matches the Rfam family "tRNA". Rfam says of the family: Transfer RNA (tRNA) molecules are approximately 80 nucleotides in length. Their secondary structure includes four short double-helical elements and three loops (D, anti-codon, and T loops). The record is from Rfam by way of RNAcentral. Lineage: Eukaryota; Metazoa; Chordata; Actinopteri; Albuliformes; Albulidae.